UCAGAUGUUUACAUGUGUCAUUCA
This 24-nucleotide non-coding RNA is filed under the name Arabidopsis thaliana (thale cress). Lineage: Eukaryota; Viridiplantae; Streptophyta; Magnoliopsida; Brassicales; Brassicaceae. The record is from RNAcentral.